UAGCAUUCUAGUAGUAGUCUUGAAAUUGAAGGAACUACUUGUCUUUGACCUCUUUCACAAAGAAGACAAUUUUUUCAGAGACAUUUAGCAAGAGAAGAAAGGAGAGGCAGAUGUGGCUUUUGAGUUUUGAAUCUUUCAGUCCAUCCACUAGAUGUCUCUCUUUUCUCCCCUCAUCUGUAAAUGACUCUAUUUCAAUUAAAUUUGCUGCUGUCAAAAGCAAGGUGGGUCUGAGUUAUGGAAAUAACACAUUUCAUGUUCCCAUUUAAAGUAUGCCAUUUUCAGCAACAUACCCAUGAUUUCAGUAAAAACAAAGAUGUUCCUUAGGCUGUGACAGUAAUUCAGUGGAAUUUAUUUAUUCAGCAGUAUCAAUUUGGAACCUUUGUAUGCUAAACACUUUUCAAGGUGUGUGGGGAUAUAAUAGGCAAAACAGACAUGUUUUUGCCUCCUGAAACUUUAAAAGAAUGUUCAAGCCACAGCAAAAUACAUUAAAACUUCAGUAUGAGAACCAUCAUGUAUAUUUUCGUGUUAAGGAAAGCCAGAAAAGGUAAGGGAUUGGUUAACAUUUUAAGGUUUUUUUCAUGCUUAAAAGUUCAGUUUUUAAUAGUACUUCCUAGUGUUCUUCAUGUAGGUUUCUUUAAGGUUAGACUUUGUACAUUUUCUCUUUAGUGAUACGGAUCAUUGAAAAGAUGCAAAGUUGGAUUGCAGAGUCAACAAAGAAAUGGAAGACAGAUUUCCUUCCCUUACUCUUAAGGGAGAGGCAUUGCUGACAUUUGUCAUCACUGCUGCCUCUGAACGUGUGUCUUAUGUGCCCUGAGAUGAAUGCCCAUUCUCCCAGACAUGGCUGAUCAUCAAGACGUGGAAGAACGCUUGCUACCCAGGUUGUGGUGCCUUGUUCUGGCAGCCCUGGCCAAUGAUCCUGAUGGGCACGAGGAUGAUGGAGAGGCACUUAGCAUGGCCACAGCUGACAAGCAGAGAGGUGGAGACGUCUCUGUAGAUGUCAGCACAGAGACCAGCACUGAGCACCGGGUGGGCCCAUCGCAGCACGGGACACCUACAGUGGGAGCCCGGACUAUGGGCAGUGACCUCUCCGACAUCAGGAAGAUGAGGCCUGACACAGAAAGUGGAUGCUGCAAGUCCCUUGAACUGGCCACACGCACCUGCAUCCUGGAAUCAGAGAUAAGACACGGGAGGCAAGGUUUCUAGGAAGGAAAGGGAGCGAUUUAAAUUCUCGCUGAGGUCGGAGCUGCCGAUAGCCGAUUCUUUCCUGAGAACAGGUUUCAACUUGGGGGAGGAGGUUGGGCAGGCAGAGCAGGAGGACCCUGAGGUGGCUCGGUG
Molecule: long non-coding RNA, 1335 nt
Organism: Ursus maritimus (polar bear)
Lineage: Eukaryota; Metazoa; Chordata; Mammalia; Carnivora; Ursidae
Source: Ensembl